RNAcentral lists this ribosomal RNA (253 nucleotides) under uncultured bacterium. Its description in RNAcentral is "partial 16S ribosomal RNA". It matches the Rfam family "Bacterial small subunit ribosomal RNA", at positions 524 to 776 of the family's 1533-position model. The record is from RNAcentral.
UACGGAGGGGGCGAGCGUUAUUCGGAAUUAUUGGGCGUAAAGGGCGCGUAGGCGGCUCUAUAAGUCAAAGGUGAAAUCCCUCGGCUCAACUGAGGAACUGCCUUUGAAACUGUUGGGCUUGAGGCCGGGAGAGGGUAGUGGAAUUCCCAGUGUAGCGGUGAAAUGCGUAGAUACUGGGAGGAACACCAGAUGCGAAGGCGGGUCACUGGGCUGAUACUGACGCUGAUGCGCGAAAGCCAGGGGAGCGAACGGG